GACGAACGCUGGCGGCGUGCUUAACACAUGCAAGUCGAACGGAAAGGCCCUGCUUUUGUGGGGUGCUCGAGUGGCGAACGGGUGAGUAACACGUGAGUAAACUGCCCUUGACUUUGGGAUAACUUCAGGGAACUGGGGCUAAUACCGGAUAGGAGCUCCUGCUGCAUGGGGGGGGUUGGAGAGAUUCGGCGGUUGGGGCUGGUAUCGCUGCUUAUCGGCUUGUUGGUGGGGUAGUGGCUUACGAAGGCUUUGAAGGGUAGCCGGCCUGGGAGGGUGACCGGCCACCUUGCGCCUGCGAUACGGCCCAGAAGCCUACGUGAGGCAGUAGUCGGGAGUCUUGCACAAUGGGCCGACGUCUGAUGCAGCGACGCCGCGUUCGGAAUGCCGGCCUUCGGGGUAUAAACCGCUUUCGCAUGUGACGAGGCGUGAGUGACGGUAAUGGGUCAAGAAGCACCGGCUAACUACGUG
RNAcentral lists this ribosomal RNA (468 nucleotides) under uncultured bacterium. RNAcentral describes it as "partial 16S ribosomal RNA". It matches the Rfam family "Bacterial small subunit ribosomal RNA", at positions 28 to 507 of the family's 1533-position model. The record is from RNAcentral.